This is a non-coding RNA of Podarcis lilfordi (Lilford's wall lizard), 76 nucleotides long. Lineage: Eukaryota; Metazoa; Chordata; Lepidosauria; Squamata; Lacertidae. The record is from the annotation of a GenBank genome assembly.
GGAGAGGGUGAUAGCUCAGUGGUAGAGCAUCUGUUUUGCAUGCAAAAAAAUUCAGGUUCAAUCCCAGACAUUUCCA